CCCUUUGGUUCGGAAUAACAAGAGGAAACUUUUGCUAAUACCGGAUAAGUCUUUACGGAGAAAGCUUUAUGCGCCAUUGGAUGAGCCUGCACUUGAUUAGUUAGUUGGUGGGGUAAAGGCCUACCAAGACAAUGAUCAAUAGCUGAUUUGAGAGGAUGAUCAGCCACAUUGGGACUGAGACACGGCCCAAACUCCUACGGGAGGCAGCAGUAGGGAAUCUUGCACAAUGGGGGAAACCCUGAUGCAGCGAUGCCGCGUGAGUGAAGAAGGCCUUUGGGUUGUAAAGCUCUUUCGUCGGGGAAGAAAAUGACUGUACCCGAAUAAGAAGGUCCGGCUAACUUCGUGCCAGCAGCCGCGGUAAUACGAAGGGACCUAGCGUAGUUCGGAAUUACUGGGCUUAAAGAGUUCGUAGGUGGUUAAAAAAGUUGGUGGUGAAAUCCCAGAGCUUAACUCUGGAACUGCCAUCAAAACUUUUUAGCUAGAGUAUGAUAGAGGAAAGCAGAAUUUCUAGUGUAGAGGUGAAAUUCGUAGAUAUUAGAAAGAAUACCGAUUGCGAAGGCAGCUUUCUGGAUCAUUACUGACACUGAGGAACGAAAGCAUGGGUAGCGAAGAGGAUUAGAUACCCUCGUAGUCCAUGCCGUAAACGAUGUGUGUUAGACGUUGGAAAUUUAUUUUUCAGU
Molecule: ribosomal RNA, 680 nt
Filed under: uncultured Alphaproteobacteria bacterium
Lineage: Bacteria; Pseudomonadati; Pseudomonadota; Alphaproteobacteria
Description: bacterial SSU rRNA
Rfam family: Bacterial small subunit ribosomal RNA
Source: RNAcentral